This 1016-nucleotide ribosomal RNA is filed under the name uncultured bacterium. Its description in RNAcentral is "bacterial SSU rRNA". It matches the Rfam family "Bacterial small subunit ribosomal RNA", at positions 357 to 1376 of the family's 1533-position model. The record is from RNAcentral.
AGGAAUAUUGGUCAAUGGACGAGAGUCUGAACCAGCCAAGUAGCGUGAAGGAUGACUGCCCUAUGGGUUGUAAACUUCUUUUAUACGGGAAUAAAGUGAGGCACGUGUGCCUUUUUGUAUGUACCGUAUGAAUAAGGAUCGGCUAGCUCCGUGCCAGCAGCCGCGGUAAUACGGAGGAUCCGAGCGUUAUCCGGAUUUAUUGGGUUUAAAGGGAGCGUAGGCGGACGCUUAAGUCAGUUGUGAAAGUUUGCGGCUCAACCGUAAAAUUGCAGUUGAUACUGGGUGUCUUGAGUACAGUAGAGGCAGGCGGAAUUCGUGGUGUAGCGGUGAAAUGCUUAGAUAUCACGAAGAACUCCGAUUGCGAAGGCAGCUUGCUGGACUGUAACUGACGCUGAUGCUCGAAAGUGUGGGUAUCAAACAGGAUUAGAUACCCUGGUAGUCCACACAGUAAACGAUGAAUACUCGCUGUUUGCGAUAUACAGUAAGCGGCCAAGCGAAAGCGUUAAGUAUUCCACCUGGGGAGUACGCCGGCAACGGUGAAACUCAAAGGAAUUGACGGGGGCCCGCACAAGCGGAGGAACAUGUGGUUUAAUUCGAUGAUACGCGAGGAACCUUACCCGGGCUUGAAUUGCAACUGAAUGAUGUGGAGACAUGUCAGCCGCAAGGCAGUUGUGAAGGUGCUGCAUGGUUGUCGUCAGCUCGUGCCGUGAGGUGUCGGCUUAAGUGCCAUAACGAGCGCAACCCUUAUCGAUAGUUACCAUCAGGUUAUGCUGGGGACUCUGUCGAGACUGCCGUCGUAAGAUGUGAGGAAGGUGGGGAUGACGUCAAAUCAGCACGGCCCUUACGUCCGGGGCUACACACGUGUUACAAUGGGGGGUACAGAAGGCAGCUACACGGCGACGUGAUGCUAAUCCCUAAAGCCUCUCUCAGUUCGGAUUGGAGUCUGCAACCCGACUCCAUGAAGCUGGAUUCGCUAGUAAUCGCGCAUCAGCCACGGCGCGGUGAAUACGUUCCCG